GACACUUUAGUACAGUGGGAGUUACGCUCGCCUGAAGAGCGAGAGGUCGUGGGCUCGAAUCCCACAAGUGUCA
RNAcentral lists this transfer RNA (73 nucleotides) under Tremella mesenterica DSM 1558. RNAcentral's name for it is "tRNA-Phe (GAA) (tRNA-Phe-GAA-1-1)". It matches the Rfam family "tRNA". Rfam says of the family: Transfer RNA (tRNA) molecules are approximately 80 nucleotides in length. The record is from RNAcentral. Lineage: Eukaryota; Fungi; Basidiomycota; Tremellomycetes; Tremellales; Tremellaceae.